Molecule: ribosomal RNA, 450 nt
Filed under: uncultured Glomeromycotina
Lineage: Eukaryota; Fungi; Glomeromycota
Description: SSU rRNA
Rfam family: Eukaryotic small subunit ribosomal RNA
Source: RNAcentral
AGCAGCCGCGGUAAUUCCAGCUCCAAUAGCGUAUAUUAAAGUUGUUGCAGUUAAAAAGCUCGUAGUUGAAUUUCAGGCCUGGCUGGACGGUCCGCCUUUUGGGUGAGUACUGUCUGUGGUCGGGUCCUACCUUCUGGCGAAGCGUCAUGGCCUUAACCGGCCGUGGCGGGGAACCAGGACUUUUACUGUGAAAAAUUAGAGUGUUCAAAGCAGGCAGUCGCUUGAAUACAUUAGCAUGGAAUAAUGGAAUAGGACAAUGGUUCUAUUUGUUGGUUUCUAGGAUCGUUGUAAUGAUUAAUAGGGAUAGUUGGGGGCAUUAGUAUUCAAUUGUCAGAGGUGAAAUUCUUGGAUUUAUUGAAGACUAACUACUGCGAAAGCAUUUGCCAAGGAUGUUUUCAUUAAUCAAGAACGAAAGUUAGGGGAUCGAAGACGAUCAGAUACCGUCGUAGU